RNAcentral lists this ribosomal RNA (860 nucleotides) under uncultured bacterium. RNAcentral's name for it is "bacterial SSU rRNA". It matches the Rfam family "Bacterial small subunit ribosomal RNA", at positions 62 to 935 of the family's 1533-position model. The record is from RNAcentral.
UCGAACGAGCGAGAGAGAGCUUGCUUUCUCAAGCGAGUGGCGAACCGGUGAGUAACGCGUGAGGAACCUGCCUCAAAGAGGGGGACAACAGUUGGAAACGACUGCUAAUACCGCAUAAGCCCACGACUCGGCAUCGGGUAGAGGGAAAAGGAGCAAUCCGCUUUGAGAUGGCCUCGCGUCCGAUUAGCUAGUUGGUGAGGUAAUGGCCCACCAAGGCGACGAUCGGUAGCCGGACUGAGAGGUUGAACGGCCACAUUGGGACUGAGACACGGCCCAGACUCCUACGGGAGGCAGCAGUGGGGAAUAUUGCACAAUGGGGGAAACCCUGAUGCAGCGACGCCGCGUGGAGGAAGAAGGUCUUCGGAUUGUAAACUCCUGUUGUUGAGGAAGAUAAUGACGGUACUCGACAAGGAAGUGACGGCUAACUACGUGCCAGCAGCCGCGGUAAAACGUAGGUCACAAGCGUUGUCCGGAAUUACUGGGUGUAAAGGGAGCGCAGGCGGGAAGACAAGUUGGAAGUGAAAUCCAUGGGCUCAACCCAUGAACUGCUUUCAAAACUGUUUUUCUUGAGUAGUGCAGAGGUAGGCGGAAUUCCCGGUGUAGCGGUGGAAUGCGUAGAUAUCGGGAGGAACACCAGUGGCGAAGGCGGCCUACUGGGCACCAACUGACGCUGAGGCUCGAAAGUGUGGGUAGCAAACAGGAUUAGAUACCCUGGUAGUCCACACUGUAAACGAUGAUUACUAGGUGUUGGAGGAUUGACCCCUUCAGUGCCGCAGUUAACACAAUAAGUAAUCCACCUGGGGAGUACGACCGCAAGGUUGAAACUCAAAGGAAUUGACGGGGGCCCGCACAAGCAGUGG